Molecule: ribosomal RNA, 264 nt
Filed under: uncultured bacterium
Lineage: Bacteria
Description: partial 16S ribosomal RNA
Rfam family: Bacterial small subunit ribosomal RNA
Source: RNAcentral
AGCGAACGCUGGCGGCAGGCUUAACACAUGCAAGUCGAACGGGCGUAGCAAUACGUCAGUGGCAGACGGGUGAGUAACGCGUGGGAACGUACCUUUUGGUUCGGAACAACCCAGGGAAACUUGGGCUAAUACCGGAUAAGCCCUUACGGGGAAAGGAUUAUCGCCGAAGAUCGGCCCGCGUCUGAUUAGCUAGUUGGUGAGGUAACGGCUCACCAAGGCGACGAUCAGUAGCUGGUCUGAGAGGANGAUCAGCCACAUUGGGAC